This 76-nucleotide transfer RNA is filed under the name Oscillospiraceae bacterium. RNAcentral's name for it is "tRNA-Lys". It matches the Rfam family "tRNA". Rfam says of the family: Transfer RNA (tRNA) molecules are approximately 80 nucleotides in length. Their secondary structure includes four short double-helical elements and three loops (D, anti-codon, and T loops). Lineage: Bacteria; Bacillati; Bacillota; Clostridia; Eubacteriales; Oscillospiraceae. The record is from RNAcentral.
GCACCAUUAGCUCAGCUGGCAGAGCACCUGACUCUUAAUCAGGGUGUCCUGGGUUCGAUCCCCAGAUGGUGCACCA